This 440-nucleotide ribosomal RNA is filed under the name uncultured bacterium. Its description in RNAcentral is "bacterial SSU rRNA". It matches the Rfam family "Bacterial small subunit ribosomal RNA", at positions 346 to 803 of the family's 1533-position model. The record is from RNAcentral.
AGGCAGCAGUGGGGAAUAUUGCACAAUGGGGGAAACCCUGAUGCAGCGACGCCGCGUGAAGGAAGAAGUAUCUCGGUAUGUAAACUUCUAUCAGCAGGGAAGAAAAUGACGGUACCUGACUAAGAAGCCCCGGCUAACUACGUGCCAGCAGCCGCGGUAAUACGUAGGGGGCAAGCGUUAUCCGGAUUUACUGGGUGUAAAGGGAGCGUAGACGGAUGGACAAGUCUGAUGUGAAAGGCUGGGGCUCAACCCCGGGACUGCAUUGGAAACUGCCCGUCUUGAGUGCCGGAGAGGUAAGCGGAAUUCCUAGUGUAGCGGUGAAAUGCGUAGAUAUUAGGAGGAACACCAGUGGCGAAGGCGGCUUACUGGACGGUAACUGACGUUGAGGCUCGAAAGCGUGGGGAGCAAACAGGAUUAGAUACCCUGGUAGUCCACGCGGU